GUCCAUGCAUUAAUAUUUUUUUAAUUGCUAAUCUCAUGGAAAAAGAUAAAGAAAUAAUCUCGUGUGUGAACAUUUAAUUUACUUUGUUUUCUUCGACUUUCAUCGGAUGCAUGAAUAUAUAAUUCUUCUACUUUGCAGAAACAACCUGCACAAUAAAACUUCCUCCUCAGUAAAGGCACAGGAAACAAAGGUUUUUAGCCAAUGAAACCAGAGAAAAACAAAGGCUCUCUUUCCAAGGUUUACUCACUUGUCUUACUCUUGGACUGUAAAUGUUGUUUGGUUACACAUGUUUGGUUUUUCA
RNAcentral lists this long non-coding RNA (301 nucleotides) under Phaseolus vulgaris (common bean). Its description in RNAcentral is "long non-coding RNA (PVUL_LNC005276)". Lineage: Eukaryota; Viridiplantae; Streptophyta; Magnoliopsida; Fabales; Fabaceae. The record is from RNAcentral.